RNAcentral lists this ribosomal RNA (484 nucleotides) under uncultured bacterium. RNAcentral's name for it is "partial 16S ribosomal RNA". It matches the Rfam family "Bacterial small subunit ribosomal RNA", at positions 28 to 523 of the family's 1533-position model. The record is from RNAcentral.
GACGAACGCUGGCGGCGUGCUUAACACAUGCAAGUCGAACGAUGAAGCUGGAGCUUGCUCUAGCGGAUUAGUGGCGAACGGGUGAGUAACACGUGAGCAAUCUGCCCUUGACUCUGGGAUAACUGCGGGCAACUGUAGCUAAUACCGGAUACUUUCACCGGGGUGCAUCCUCUGGUGAUGAAAGAACUUCGGUCAAGGAUGAGCUCGCGGCCUAUCAGCUUGUUGGUGAGGUAACGGCUCACCAAGGCGAGAACGGGUAACCGGCCUGAGAGGGGGACCGGUCACACUGGGACUGAGACACGGCCCAGACUCCUACGGGAGGCAGCAGUGGGGAAUAUUGCACAAUGGGCGCAAGCCUGAUGCAGCAACGCCGCGUGAGGGAUGAAGGCCUUCGGGUUGUAAACCUCUUUUAGCAGGGAAGAAGCGAAAGUGACGGUACCUGCAGAAAAAGCACCGGCUAACUACGUGCCAGCAGCCGCCGUAA